RNAcentral lists this unclassified non-coding RNA (216 nucleotides) under uncultured Rubrobacterales bacterium. RNAcentral's name for it is "contains 16S-23S intergenic spacer region". The record is from RNAcentral. Lineage: Bacteria; Bacillati; Actinomycetota; Rubrobacteria; Rubrobacterales.
UCCGGUUUGUCACCGGCAGUCUGGUGUGAGUCCCCAACUUAAUGCUGGCAACACACCACGGGGGUUGCGCUCGUUGCGGGACUUAACCCAACAUCUCACGACACGAGCUGACGACAGCCAUGCAGCAUCUGUGGUGCACCCUCGAAGGUCACACGUUUCCGUGCGCUUGCAGCACCAUGUCAAGCCCAGGUAAGGUGGGGAUGACGUUCGUCUGAC